Long non-coding RNA from Alosa sapidissima (American shad), 540 nucleotides. RefSeq lists it as uncharacterized. The transcript is spliced from 2 exons. The record is from RefSeq and is a predicted model, not a curated record. NCBI's taxonomy places the organism in Eukaryota, Metazoa, Chordata, Actinopteri, Clupeiformes, Clupeidae.
GGCCUCGGGAGAGCAACAAGGCUGGUGCGCUUCAGCCGUUCAAUUUCUGCUUUCCAUUUUUCAUCACGCCUCUGCACUAUUAACAGAAUCUCUGAAGUCAGUCUCAAGUGUAUUUAAUCUGUCCAUGACUGAAUCUAAGUCGGUGGUAAUGGUUGUGAGAGCAGGAAGUGUGAGGUAAGAUGUGUUUCCCUCAUCUCCAAUGCUUUGUUCAUUCUCUUCUGGGUCUGAUACGUAAAGUGAACUAAUUAGUGAUGUUACUUCCCCCACAGGAAUUCUUCUAGUGACCCAUGCAUCUCCCCUUGGUUCAUGGUGCAGUUCACUAGGCCCAUGCCCUGAUGCAGACCUAUCUGUUUCCUGGUUGGAAUUUAAAGACUAUAGCGCAAUCCUGGGAAAGACUUGAAGUUUUCCUUUAGUUUGGACUUUUAGUUUAAUUUUGUGGACUGAGACAAGGGGGGGGGGGGGGGAUUCAAGUAUUGUGUGGGUGCACGGAAUAAUUGGUGCAUUGAUAAUAUACCGCGCUAAGCGCAUUAUUCAAUUGAA